AAUUACUUCACCAAACGGGUUGAAGCCGAGCCCUUAACAUAGAUCACCUAGAUGAAUGCUCAAGAAUUUAUGUAAAAAUUUGUUAUCUAUCAGUUUGGAUUUUCAUGAGUAAUCAUCAUCGAAAUGGACACCAAUUCGAUAAUUAAAAAUUUAAAAAUUCUACUCGAAGCUCUACAUCGACCAUAGACUCACCUCGAUAGAUCAUCUACAAUCUAAUAAGAAAGCAAAGGUGACCAAUUGAAUGAUCCUACAAGGACUGAAGACUAGGCUUGGCCAAGUGAAAGGAAUGUGGGCAGAAGAGAAUGUCUUAUGGGCAUAUCAGAUAACACUUCGAACGACAAUUGGAGAAACACCUGUCAACCUCACCUUUGGAGCUGAAGUAGUUAUUCCUGUCGAAAUAGGCAUAUACAGUCAAUCAGACUAGAGUUCUAUGACAAGCAAGAAGAUUCAGAUCGGCUUCAGAUGAACCUAGACUUGCUAGAAGAAAUGAGAGAAAGAGCUCGAAUCAGGAUGGCCUUGUACCAACGAUGGAUAGCCCACAACUAUAAUACUCAGGUCAAAAUGAAAAUUUUUUGAUUCAAAGAAUUCAUCUUGAGAUGAGCCGAAGUGUUCAAAUCCAUAGAAUAGGGCAAAUUGACCCCAAACUAGAAAGAACCAUAUCGAAUUCUGGAAGCCAUCUGACUCAAAGCGUAUAAGUUGG
RNAcentral lists this long non-coding RNA (700 nucleotides) under Elaeis guineensis (African oil palm). Its description in RNAcentral is "long non-coding RNA (EGUI_LNC036239)". The record is from RNAcentral. Lineage: Eukaryota; Viridiplantae; Streptophyta; Magnoliopsida; Arecales; Arecaceae.